GAUGAACGCUGGCGGCGUGCUUAACACAUGCAAGUCGAACGGAAAGGCUCCUGCUUGCAGGGGUACUCGAGUGGCGAACGGGUGAGUAACACGUGGGUGAUCUGCCCUGCACUUCGGGAUAAGCCUGGGAAACUGGGUCUAAUACCGGAUAGGACCACAUUUUGGAUGGUGUGGUGGAAAGUUUUUCGGUGUGGGAUGAGCUCGCGGCCUAUCAGCUUGUUGGUGGGGUAAUGGCCUACCAAGGCGUCGACGGGUAGCCGGCCUGAGAGGGUGUACGGCCACAUUGGGACUGAGAUACGGCCCAGACUCCUACGGGAGGCAGCAGGGGGGAAUAUUGCACAAUGGGCGCAAGCCUGAUGCAGCGACGCCGCGUGGGGGAUGACGGCCUUCGGGUUGUAAACUCCUUUCGCUAGGGACGAAGCGUUUUUGUGACGGUACCUGGAGAAGAAGCACCGGCUAACUACGUG
This 467-nucleotide ribosomal RNA is filed under the name uncultured bacterium. Its description in RNAcentral is "partial 16S ribosomal RNA". It matches the Rfam family "Bacterial small subunit ribosomal RNA", at positions 28 to 507 of the family's 1533-position model. The record is from RNAcentral.